GACAGAGGUGCCGAGCGUUAGGCGGAAUCACUGGGCUUAAAGCGUGUGUAGGCGGGUCGUUAAGUGCCUUGUGAAAUCCCACAGCUCACCUGUGGAACUGCUUGGCAUACUGGCGAUCUUGAGCCACUUAGGGGCUACCGGAACAAAUGGUGGAGCGGUGAAAUGCGUAGAUAUCAUUUGGAACGCCAAUGGUGAAAAACAGGUAGCUGGGAGUGUGCUGACGCUGAGACACGAAAGCCAGGGGAGCGAACGGGG
Molecule: ribosomal RNA, 255 nt
Filed under: uncultured bacterium
Lineage: Bacteria
Description: partial 16S ribosomal RNA
Rfam family: Bacterial small subunit ribosomal RNA
Source: RNAcentral